This 928-nucleotide non-coding RNA is filed under the name Brachyurophis roperi (Northern shovel-nosed snake). Lineage: Eukaryota; Metazoa; Chordata; Lepidosauria; Squamata; Elapidae. The record is from RNAcentral.
AACUUACAUUUUAACAUAAGGUCUUGGUCUUAAACCUCUUAUUAUCUAAACUCUAUACUUAUACAUGCAAGCCUCAACACACCGGUGAAAUAGCCCACCACUAACACAUAAGGAGCUGAUAUCAGACUAACCACCCAUGACAUCAAGCAACCAAGCCACACCCCCACGGGUCCACAGCAGUAAUUAAUAUUGGGCAAUAAACGCAAGCUUGACCCAGCAAUAGAGUUACAGAGCCGGUUAAUCUCGUGCCAGCGACCGCGGUUACACGACAGGCUCAAGACAAUAUACCCGGCGUAAAGCACGACUAGAAUUUAGUCACCCCACUAGAGAAGAAGAAAGACUUGGCCGUAAAAAGCCAUAAGUCACACUAACCAUAAGCUCUAGUAUCAAACAUCUUCAACUCGUGAAAAUUAGGAAACAAACUAAGAUUAGAUACCUUACUAUGCCUAACCUUAACAAAACAAUCAAAUCACUAAUUGUUCGCCAAAUAACUACGAGCAAAAGCUUAAAAUUUAAAAGACUUGACGGUACUUCACACCAACCUAGAGGAGCCUGUCUACUAACCGAUAACCCACGAUUAACCCAACCCGCUCUCGCCCAACAGUCUAUAUACCGCCGUCGCCAGCUUACCUUGUGAAAGAACCAAAGCAAGCUCAAUAACACACAUUAACACGACAGGUCGAGGUGUAACUAAUGAGCCGGACUAAGAUGGGCUACAUUUUCUAACCCAGAAUAAACGAAUAGACUAUGAAACUAGAAACUGAAGGCGGAUUUAGCAGUAAGUUGGAUAUAGAUACGCCCAACCGAAACCAUCGCAAUGAAGUGCGUACACACCGCCCGUCAUCCCUGUGAAAUUUUCCAUUAAAUUCAUAAACACCCCAUCUCACCUUAAAGCAGGGCAAGUCGUAACACGGUAAGCGUACUGAAA